GAGUUACUUUGGAAUGUAAAUUGUAGUAGUUUCAGAUCAUUUCAGAUGAUAAAAAACGCGACAUGUAGCCCAGAAAAUACGGUUUAGCAAAUUAUUUCUCUGACACUUUGAAAACCCCUGUUCUAUAAUAUAAUGAAUCUGAACUAAUCCAUGUUUUACAGAUAAAACACAGACAGCUGUGAUAGUGACAGUGAUUUCUGUUUCUGUCGCUGCAUUUGCUGUUUUUCUUCUUGUUGUUCUCUGGCUGAUCUGCAGAAAAAGAGCUGAUAAUAAAAGGGGGACUGAUGAGUCAGUGGUCAAAGGUGAGAAUGAAGAUAAAGGGACGUAUGAAACAAUCAACAUGUCCAUUCCUGCUGCUGCUAGAGACAAUGAGCAGACAGAUGAUGUGACUUAUUCUGAAGUCUCUUCUUCCAGUAAAAAGCCAGUAAAAUCACUCAAUGAUCAUGAUGAUACAGUGACUUACGCUGCCAUCAGAUGAACAGAAAAUGAGCCGCGGGAUGAACUUUACGCUUCUGUGAACAAGAACAAAUAAACAUUAAUGACACAGAUCACUGCUGGAGCUCAUCAUAUCAGCAGCAGACGGGAAUUUUUUUCCCCCUCCCACAUGCUAAUAUUCACAACUGUGGUGUUUGGAAA
Labeo rohita (rohu) is the source of this 636-nucleotide long non-coding RNA. RefSeq lists it as uncharacterized. The transcript has 5 exons. Lineage: Eukaryota; Metazoa; Chordata; Actinopteri; Cypriniformes; Cyprinidae. The record is from RefSeq and is a predicted model, not a curated record.